Cuculus canorus (common cuckoo) is the source of this 2290-nucleotide long non-coding RNA. RefSeq lists it as uncharacterized. The transcript is spliced from 3 exons. Lineage: Eukaryota; Metazoa; Chordata; Aves; Cuculiformes; Cuculidae. The record is from RefSeq and is a predicted model, not a curated record.
GAGUGAGAGAGAAGGAAAGAGAGUCCCCAGCAGAAGCUCUUAACUUCAGUUGAAGAGAAAUCAGAUUUUUGUCAUGUAAAGGUAUUUAAUACCUAAGAGUCUACCAGUAAGGGAGAAUGCAAGAGCUUGUCCCAUUGCGGUAAUGCACAAGAUCCUGUAAAUGGUCUGGAUGCUGGUUUGAGUUAACUCCUCAGCCCAAAAUUUCAUCACUAGUGAGUGCAGUGUGGUGCUUUUUGCCUGUGACGGCUAAGCACUUGGACUCAGCAUCACACUUCGACUCAGUGUCGUGUUUCGGCAGUGUAACUAGUAAGCUAAGAUAUAAAACCAGAAGGAAUUUUAAAAAUUCAAUUGAUCUUAGUAUUUUAUGAUCCUUCCAUUUGAUUUAGUGAUGCUUAUUUAAUUUCAUGUUUUUCAGUUCUGCACUGUUAGGAUUACAUAUGCCAUAUGAGAAUUUGUUUAAAGAUCAUUUUUAUUGGAAGUAAAAUAAAAACUGGAAACCUUUCUGUUAUUCUAAGGCUUUAUAACAGCUUGUUUGUACAAAAUCUAAAUUUGGAACCAGAUUUGACUUGUCCUUUAAAACAAUAACAGCCUCAGAACACUGCUAAUAAAUGCUGGGGAUUUGUCAGUGCUCAAACAAGUUUGACGAUAUUUGAAUUAUUAGCCUUUACACUGUUGGAGUUCGGGCUAUGGGUCUGCUUUGUACUUUCCUAAAAUGCAUAUCAGCUAUACUUAUUGUUCAUAGCUGCCCAUACUUUUUUGAUAUUUCCAUCUAUUAAUCAUUUGUUAACCCUUUAUAAACCAUUUAUAAAUGUACCCUGAAUGAAAAAAUCGUGUGACCUUUCAGUUUUUGCCUCAAGUUUAAUAUUAAAGGCAAGUCCAAGGUCAAGAUGGGCACAGGGACCUCUUUAGGGGAGCUGGUGUGGUUUAUAUUUUGGCCAGUCAGCUGAGGAACCACGUGGAACUAAAAUUAGUAAAGUGUGUGCAGUGAAGAAAGUUCACACAGUGUAAUACGCUGUGGGCAGUAUUAGCGUUGAUUUACCCAAUCUGUUAAUGGUGUGGUCUGUCCAGACCUUUGGAACAUUCCUUAGCUCCUUAUUUAAUGUAGGAGGAAUCAUUUCUGAAAUUAGCAUAUAAAUUGUUCAGAGUCAGCAGCCCUUUAAAAUGCUGUUCUACCUUUGUGUCAUGGCACAAUAACUGUUUCAUAAAAACAUAAAAGCCCCGAUCAGGCAUGUUCUCAUGGAGAAGCUCUCAACUUUAGAUUGCAUGCUGAAAAAGUGCAUAAACCUGAGAAAAUUCAUUAAGUUUAAUAUGGGGAAAUGGUCAGGAUUUGAUUUGGCCUUUGUGGAUUGAUCCACCAGUGAUGGGAAACACUGUGGUCUGCACUACUGGGCGUGAGAAGGCAACCUGUAUUGUAAUCCUGCCUUAGAGGUGCCUGUUUUGCAGGAGACCAAAAGAGGUCAUGGAUCUUGGAGGCGAUGGUGGUGGAUCAAGCUCCAUCUCAGUGGUCUGAACGCUCCGUAAUCAUCCCCAGGGCUUAUGACGCUAUAAGUAUUUUGACAGUACUCAAAAAUUACCCUAUCUUAUUUUAAAAUAGGAAGCAGUAGUGAGGCAGAAGGAUAGCUAUGGUCCACAGGGUUUACUUUAAGGGAUUCCAUUUACAAGAUGGUGUGUUUCUGUUAAUUACAUGGGCAGAAUUUUCUUAAGAAUACAAAUUACUCUCAUUAGAUGAGUGCACCUGUAAUUUCUUCUUUGUCAUUCAGUAAACUUGGUUACUCUAGGGAAAUAUCUAUUUCUUAUAUGCUAUGUUAUCAUUUGUACAUCUAUGAAAUUACUUCUCUCCAUUUUUGCAGUAUAAAAUCUUGCUAUGAAAAUGAUUGGUUUACAGUCAUAGGUAUAGUUUAGAUGAGUGCUUCGGUAGAAUACAGUUCAUUCAGAACAGGGAAGUUUACUUAUCUCAGGCUCUCAUGCAACAGAAUAAACAAAAUGAAAAAUUAAAUGAAACUAAUCUUUUUGUUAAAAAUAACUCUCCUGGAAAGGACUGUAUUAAGAGCUUAUCUUUUAAGAACAUGACACAAGAAGUCUGAAAAUCAUCACAGUAUAAACACUACGGUUAGGAUGAGAAAAUGCAAACAACAAAUGUAAGAAACCUGCACACGUAGGGACAUAUUCAAAGAGAUCUUUGCAUAGCAAGGAGUAUCAGGCUUCUCAUCUGAUCUGCAAGAAUUGAUAUUGAAGAGGAUAAAAUUAAGUCCUUUCCUUUGCAAUCAAACUUGCUUUCUUUUGCCUAGAC